RNAcentral lists this transfer RNA (71 nucleotides) under Ameiurus melas (black bullhead). It matches the Rfam family "tRNA". Rfam says of the family: Transfer RNA (tRNA) molecules are approximately 80 nucleotides in length. Their secondary structure includes four short double-helical elements and three loops (D, anti-codon, and T loops). The record is from Rfam by way of RNAcentral. Lineage: Eukaryota; Metazoa; Chordata; Actinopteri; Siluriformes; Ictaluridae.
GAAUUGGUGGUUCAGUGGUAGAAUUUUAUGUUGCGGUGUUGGAGGCCUGGGUUCGAUUCCCAGCCAAUGCA